RNAcentral lists this ribosomal RNA (543 nucleotides) under uncultured Thermoplasmatales archaeon. RNAcentral's name for it is "bacterial SSU rRNA". It matches the Rfam family "Archaeal small subunit ribosomal RNA", at positions 13 to 559 of the family's 1478-position model. The record is from RNAcentral. Lineage: Archaea; Methanobacteriati; Thermoplasmatota; Thermoplasmata; Thermoplasmatales.
CCUGCCGGCGGGCACCGCUAUUGGAGUUCGCUUAAGCCAUGCGAGUCGAGAGGGGUAAGCCCUCGGCGCACUGCUCAGUAACACGCGGACAAUCUGCCCUCGAGACGGGGAUAAUCCCGGGAAACUGGGAAUAAUACCCGAUAGGUCUGGGAUGAUGGAAGGCUCCCUGGCCAAAAUCUUCCGGGGCUCGAGGAUGGGUCUGCGGCCUAUCAGGUCGUAGGGGGUUUUACGGACCCCCUAGCCGAAGACGGGUACGGGCUUUGGGAGAAGUCGCCCGGAGAUGGACUCUGAGACACGAAUCCAGGUCCUACGGGACGCAGCAGGCGCGAAACCUCCACAAUGUGGGCAACCACGAUGGGGGAACUCCAAGUGCUUACACUUUUGUGUAAGCUGUUCUCGAGCCUAAAAAGCUCGAGAAGUAAGGGCCGGGUAAGACGGGUGCCAGCCGCCACGGUAAUACCCGCGGCCCGAGUGGUGCUCAUUAUUAUUGAGCCUAAAGCGUCCGUAGCUGGCCGGGCAAAUCUCCGGGUAAAUCGGGCCGCU